Trifolium pratense (red clover) is the source of this 1509-nucleotide long non-coding RNA. RefSeq lists it as uncharacterized. The record is from RefSeq and is a predicted model, not a curated record. Lineage: Eukaryota; Viridiplantae; Streptophyta; Magnoliopsida; Fabales; Fabaceae. The transcript is spliced from 3 exons.
ACUUUUUUUUUUUUCUAUUUGGCGUCUUUUAUUUUCAUUUAUUUUUUCUUUUCACAAAAUCGCUCUCACGUGAAAGAGAAAGAGAAUAGAAACAAACAAUCGCUCACAACCGAUGCUCCGACCAACUGAUCCGUCAGCCGUCUCAAAACAUAGCUCUCUCUCCGUCGUCCCCGCCGCCGGCGAAACUUUCAGCCGGUGAACUCUCACAGCAGCACAUAUCUAUUCAACUUAGAGGUUCGAUUUCCGUCCAGGUUCGAUUUGAAAUCGGCGAGGAUCUAAUUGAGUGGACGCUGAUCUUUUCUGAUAAGCGAAUACAGUGAAAGCGAUUCGCCGAAGCUUAAUUUGCGAAUAAUCAUUUGGGAGUUAGGUUUUUGGCAUCGCAUGAAAUCAAUCAAUCUACUGUUACAGAUCCAGAUUUAGUUAUCUUAUCUUCUGAUUUCUGAUUUUUGAUCCAGACUGGUUAGUUGAAUAAGUGCAUGUAGUGCUGGUUGAUUAGGAACAUGAUAUUGAUCCUGCUUUGAAUUUACCAUUCCACUUUUUGACUUUGUCUUUUUACUUAACUCUUCAAAGGAAGUCUGAAUUUUUGCAAAUGGCUAGCAACAUGCGUGGUUUUCAAACCUGGAACAUCCAUUAAUUGAGUAAUUUGUUUUGGCAUUGCCUUAUCGAUACGAAGUUCAUUCAUAACUAUUAAAAAUUAUUCUUGAAGUUUUGGUGAUGACCGCCAUGAUACCUGAUUUUUCUUUGUUUCUUUUGUUUUACUUUCUUCAUCUCUCUUCAUUAGUUUUUGUCUGUUUUUAGCACCUCCAAGAUUCUUUGAAUUUGAUCAUGUUGUUGAAUUGUUGCAACAUGUUGCCAUAUGUUGUUGAUAUGAUUCAGAUUCAAAUGCAUUAGCCAAUAAUCACAAGCUCCUUUUUCAAUAGUAUUGAUCCUUGCACUUGUUGUGUCAUCAACACACAUCAUAAUAACUGGAAUUUUGAUUUCUUGUGUAACACGUUGCGGAAACUCAUAUGAAUUCAUAUUUGGCAUUUAAGCUUCAAUUUUGUUUUGAUGUGGAUUCAUAUGAGUUUUUGUAACGUGUUAUACAAGAAAUCAAAAUUUGAGUCACUAUGAUGCGUGUUGAUGACACAACACGUGCAAGGAUGAAUGUUAUUGAAAAAGGGGCUUGUGAUUAUUGGCUAAAGCCUUUGAAUCUGAAUCAUAUCAACAAAAUGGGCAACAUGUUGCAACAAUUCAACAACAUGAUCAAAUUCAAAGAAGCUUGGAGGUGUUAAAAACAGGAUAAAAACUAAUGAAGAAAGUGAAACAUAAGAAACAAAGAAGAAUCAGGUAUCAUGGCGGUCAUCACCAAAACUUUAAGAACAAUUUUUAAGAGUUGUGAAUCAACUUGGCGUUGAUAAGGCAAUGCCACAACAAAUUAUUAAAUUGAUGGAUGUUACGGGUUUGAAAACUGCGCAUAUUGCUAGCCAUUUGCAGAAAUUUAGACUUCAUUUGAAUAGUUCAGUAAAAAGU